UGGGGGUUAAAUUAAUAAAAUAAAUAAUAAUAAAAAAAUUUUUAAUUAUAUUUAAUGGGGGUUAAAAGUAUAAUUUAAGAAAAAAUUUUUAUAUUUAUAGUUCAAUAGUAUUGUGAAAGAAUUUUGAAAUAUUUUUGAAAAUUUAAUUUUUUAUAAAGUAAAUUUUAAUUGUUGUAUCUUGAGUAUCAGAGUUUAUUAAUAAUUUUUUUUUGUUAAAAAUUUCUCGAAUUUAAAAGAGAUAAUUAAUUAAUAAAGUUAUUGUUUUAUAAAUAUUUUAAAUAAUUAAUUUGAAAUGAAAUGUUAAUCGUUUUUAAAUAUAUCUAGUUUUUUUAGAAAUAAAUUUAAUUUAGAAUUUUUUAUUAUAAGUCCCAAUUAAUUGGGACUUAUAAUAUGAAAAAUUUAAUAUUUUAAGGGAUAAGCUUUAAAUUAAAUUUUUAUAAUAAUUAUUGUUUAUUUUAAAAUUUUUAAAAUUUAUAUUGUUUAUAAAUUAUAUUUUUUAUAAAAAAUUUAUUAAUAAAAAAAUUUUUAAUUAUAAGUUUAAUUUUUUAUAAAAAAAUAAUUUUUAAUAAAUUAAAGUAAGAUAUAAUGAUAAAAUUAGUAUAAAUAUAUAUAUAUAUAUAUAUAUAUAAUUAUUUGAUAAUUAAUAAAAAGGAAUUCGGCAAAUAUUUAUAUUCACUUGUUUAUCAAAAACAUGUCUUUUUGAAUAAUGAUUUAAAGUCUAAUCUGCCCACUGAUUUAAUUAAAGGGCUGCAGUAUUUUGACUGUACAAAGGUAGCAUAAUCAAUAGUCUUUUAAUUGAAGACUUGUAUGAAUGAUUUGAUGAAAUAUAAUCUGUCUCUUUUCUAUAAUUUGAAUUUAAUUUUUUAGUUAAAAAGCUAAGAUUUAAUUAAAAGACGAGAAGACCCUAUAGAGUUUUAUUUUUUUUUAAAUUUAAUUUAUAUAUUAAAAUUAAUAUAUUAAUUUAUUAAAAAAUUUUAUUGGGGUGAUAAAAAAAUCGAAUAAACUUUUUUAUUUUAAUUACAUAAAUUAAUGAUUUUUAGAUCCAUAAUUUAUGAUUAUAAGGAAAAAUUACCUUAGGGAUAACAGCGUAAUUUUUUUUUUUAGUUCAAAUAAGAAAAAAAGUUUGCGACCUCGAUGUUGUAUUAAGAUAAAAUUUAAAUGUAGAAGUUUAAAAUUUUUGAUCUGUUCGAUCAUUAAAAUCUUACAUGAUCUGAGUUCAAACCGGUGUAAGCCAGGUUGGUUUCUAUCUUUAGUAAUUUAAAAUAUUUUA
RNAcentral lists this ribosomal RNA (1270 nucleotides) under Satarupa nymphalis. RNAcentral's name for it is "partial 16S ribosomal RNA". The record is from RNAcentral. Lineage: Eukaryota; Metazoa; Arthropoda; Insecta; Lepidoptera; Hesperiidae.